GAGGGUAUAGCUCAGUGGUAGAGUGUGUGCUUAGCAUGCACAAGGUUCUGGGUUCAAUCCCCAGUACCUCCA
RNAcentral lists this transfer RNA (72 nucleotides) under Camelus bactrianus (Bactrian camel). It matches the Rfam family "tRNA". From Rfam's summary of the family: Transfer RNA (tRNA) molecules are approximately 80 nucleotides in length. Their secondary structure includes four short double-helical elements and three loops (D, anti-codon, and T loops). RNAcentral also lists the same sequence under 3 other names. The record is from Rfam by way of RNAcentral. Lineage: Eukaryota; Metazoa; Chordata; Mammalia; Artiodactyla; Camelidae.